CGCAGGGUAGAGCAGUUGGCAGCUCGUCGGGCUCAUAACCCGAAGUUCGUAGGUUCAAAUCCUGCCCCCGCAACCA
Molecule: transfer RNA, 76 nt
Filed under: Spirochaetaceae bacterium
Lineage: Bacteria; Pseudomonadati; Spirochaetota; Spirochaetia; Spirochaetales; Spirochaetaceae
Description: tRNA-Met
Rfam family: tRNA
About the family: Transfer RNA (tRNA) molecules are approximately 80 nucleotides in length. Their secondary structure includes four short double-helical elements and three loops (D, anti-codon, and T loops). Further hydrogen bonds mediate the characteristic L-shaped molecular structure. tRNAs have two regions of fundamental functional importance: the anti-codon, which is responsible for specific mRNA codon recognition, and the 3' end, to which the tRNAs corresponding amino acid is attached (by aminoacyl-tRNA synthetases). tRNAs cope with the degeneracy of the genetic code in two manners: having more than one tRNA (with a specific anti-codon) for a particular amino acid; and 'wobble' base-pairing, i.e. permitting non-standard base-pairing at the 3rd anti-codon position.
Source: RNAcentral